Molecule: long non-coding RNA, 1123 nt
Filed under: Felis catus (domestic cat)
Lineage: Eukaryota; Metazoa; Chordata; Mammalia; Carnivora; Felidae
Description: lncRNA (ENSFCAG00000044724.2)
Source: RNAcentral
GUUCAGACAUCUUAGGGAAUCAUUUCCCAAGCCCUUUAGCAAAGACUAUAUGUAAAUCAAUAAUCAGCUGGAGUAUUUACUUAUUAAAGCAGUUGGUUUUCAGCUUUCUUUUUAUUUAUUUACUUUUUUAGACAGGGAAGUUUUUUUUAAGUCUUGGACAAAGCAGAAGAAAGGGGAGUUCUCUGAGGCGAAAGUGGGCUGUGGGACCGUGCAUGCUCAGAUGUCCUUUUCUAUCUUAUCCCUCUUUCAGGGCCGGCGCUGGCCCCCCAAGCACCUCUGCAGAGACCCGGGAUGCCAGGGAGGCCCAUUUACAAGCCAGCAAUUCCAAAGAGUUUCCCAAGCACUCUGCCGUGGAUCAUAAUGUACAUAACGGCUCUUCACGUGGACGUGUUGCCAGCUCAACCUCCUUAUAAGAAUUCGGGAUGCGUUACAGAAACACGGCUCUCCAAAACUUCGCGUUCCUUUAAAAUUUCAUUCUGAGGAGUAGUCAUGAGGCCUGCUCUCGCCACGGCCAAGUCCACCACAUUAAAGCAAAUGAAAACCUAACUCAGAUGAUUCAUAUAAAAUUAGUCUUUCCAUAACCUUUUAUAUUAUCAAAGUGCUUUGCCCCUCUGGUGUUGGUCUGUGUAAACCAAGUGAUUCAGCCAGCCAAAACAUCAAGGAGAAAGAUCCCACCAGGCUUUGAUUGAAUUACAUAGUCCAUUUUGUUGUUGUUGUUGGCCAUUGCUGAAGUUUUCGUAUGAAAUUAAAAUGAAAGAGCCUACCCCUCCCAGCUAACAUCUCUGUAAGAAAAUCAUUGGCCGGCCUUUGUUCUCCUCCCCUCUGUAGAGUGAAGGACCAAGCCCUCCCAUUUGGUUGCAAGGUGGCACAUUUGAGAGCUUUGUCCCAAGAUACAAGGUAACCCAAAGAGUAGGUCUUCAGCUUGGGUUCUCCCAGCAGCAGACCCUGAGGCAAGAAUUUGAGUGUAAGCGACCCUGGGUGGCUCAGUCAGUGAAACCUCUGACUUCAGCUCAGGUCACCAUCGCGUGGUGCGUGUUUUCAAGAUAUACAUCAGGCUCUCUGCUGUCAGCGAAGAGCUUGCUUCAGAUCCCUUCUCUCCCUCUCUCACUGCCCCUCUCCCCCU